RNAcentral lists this ribosomal RNA (73 nucleotides) under Coralliophila meyendorffii. Its description in RNAcentral is "partial 18S ribosomal RNA". Lineage: Eukaryota; Metazoa; Mollusca; Gastropoda; Neogastropoda; Muricidae. The record is from RNAcentral.
CGCGGUAAGCGAGCGGUCUCUCAUUUCCGACCUCAGAUCUGACGAGAUUACCCGCUGAAUUUAAGCAUAUCAC